This 352-nucleotide transfer-messenger RNA is filed under the name uncultured Ruminiclostridium sp. It matches the Rfam family "transfer-messenger RNA". From Rfam's summary of the family: Bacterial tmRNA, also known as 10Sa RNA or SsrA, is named for its dual tRNA and mRNA-like properties. Its role is to liberate the mRNA from a stalled ribosome. To accomplish this part of the tmRNA is used as a reading frame that ends in a translation stop signal. Lineage: Bacteria; Bacillati; Bacillota; Clostridia; Eubacteriales; Oscillospiraceae. The record is from RNAcentral.
GGGGCCGUAAAGGUUUCGACGGGGGCUUUGAAGCCCGUUAAGCACGCAGAGUCCGCCUGAACUCUUCAAAACGGGCAAUUUUAAAAUUAAACGCAGAUUAUAGAUCUGAAUUAGUAGCUGCCUAAUCGCAGCUGCCGUCCUGCCGGGGAGCGCUGCGGCUCCGGUUCGGGCGUCAUUCAGCAGCCAACGCUUUCGGUGAGAGUUCUGUAGCCUUAAGCGCACUUAAAGAACUGCCGGAGGGCUAUCCUGUCGAUCGGAGAGUCCGAGGGGAGAUUUAAAAGACCGACUAAGCGUGUAGAAAGACGAGUGAAUGGGUUUUCGGACGGGGGUUCGACUCCCCCCGGCUCCACCA